This is a small nuclear RNA of Dermacentor albipictus, 193 nucleotides long. RefSeq annotates it as U2 spliceosomal RNA. Lineage: Eukaryota; Metazoa; Arthropoda; Arachnida; Ixodida; Ixodidae. The record is from RefSeq and is a predicted model, not a curated record.
AUUGCCGACGCGGUUCAAAGUGGGUCAAAGGCGGUGAAAUUAUCUGUUCUGAUCAGCUUGAUAUUUGAUAUGGGUUGUAUUUGGAUCCAAGAAAUUACUUAUUUUUGCAAGUUCGCGAAGCGCUUGAUGCCUGCUUCACCUCCGCCGCAGGUCGGCCCGGCAUUCCACAAUCUUCUGGAUCGGCCCACGGUUA